UGGGGAAUCUUGCACAAUGGGGGCAACCCUGAUGCAGCGACGCCGCGUGAGCGAUGAAGCCCUUCGGGGCGUAAAGCUCUUUCGACCGGAACGAUAAUGACGGUACCGGGAGAAGAAGCUGCGGCUAACUACGUGCCAGCAGCCGCGGUAAUACGUAGGCAGCAAGCGUUGUUCGGAGUUACUGGGCGAAAAGAGUGCGUAGGCGGUUUUCUAAGUUCGGUGUGAAAUCUCCCGGCUUAACUGGGAGGGUGCGCCGAAGACUGGGAAGCUGGAGUGUGGGAAAGGCAGGCGGAAUUCCUGGUGUAGCGGUGAAAUGCGUAGAUAUCAGGAGGAACACCGGCGGUGUAGACGGCUUGCUAGACCAUAACUGACGCUGAGGCACGAAAGCGUGGGUAGCAAACA
Molecule: ribosomal RNA, 402 nt
Filed under: uncultured bacterium
Lineage: Bacteria
Description: bacterial SSU rRNA
Rfam family: Bacterial small subunit ribosomal RNA
Source: RNAcentral